Long non-coding RNA from Alligator sinensis (Chinese alligator), 1568 nucleotides. RefSeq lists it as uncharacterized. NCBI's taxonomy places the organism in Eukaryota, Metazoa, Chordata, Crocodylia, Alligatoridae. The transcript is spliced from 4 exons. The record is from RefSeq and is a predicted model, not a curated record.
GUGUCUUUCACCUCCAAGUUCAUCCUUUUCCCCCCUGCGCUCUUUCUCCUCUCUCCUCUCCUGUCAUUCCAUGUCCAAGUUUCUCCAUGCGCUGCCUGCUUUCAUUUCUGCAGUGGUUCCCUUGCAACCACCGCGUGCUGAGUGCCUAUGAGCUGGUCACCCAGGUUGCUGAAUCCUUUCCUGAAAAGGGAAUAGUCGGAGGCGUCCCUUGACUUGUGUCUCCAGGAAACAAGUGUCGCAGCUUGGACUGGCCAUCAGAGGCUGCAGCCCUGAACUCUGCGAAACAGGAAAUAUGGGAUUUUUUUUUCUCUGUGAUAAGCGAAGCACACGCUCCCCAUUCCCUCCUGUGCUGCGUGCACCGGCAGGAGCCGCCACCCGCUCCGCACACCUCCCGGGCGAGCCACUCACGGCUUUGUCCCGUGCCCCGCUCCAGCCAUGCAGCACCUGCCCCAGCCCCACUCCCUCCCUGCGGUUGUGCGCGCUCCUGUGGGAGCUUGGUGUGGAAAUGUGUGUGCAGACAGGGUGCUGGUUGUGGGAAGCCGCGUGGUGCUUUGGAAGUGUCCGCGGGACGGGGGUGAGGCGAUUAUGUGAGGGGAUGUAGGAACUUUUUGUGAAAGAAGUGUGGAAAUACGGUGAGAGCGGUGCGGCAAACCGGUGCUGUGUUAAGGUGGUAAAGCCGGGGGCAGGACGGUGGCUUUCUUGUGCGGCAAACGGGUGAUCUUGCGGCGGGGCGAAGGAGAAGGACACGCUGCCUGGCCGGACUCGUGGCCCCCGGGGCCGGGCAGACGGGCGGUGGCGGCUGCGGACAGUGCUGCGCCGCGGGGCGGGCUCAGCCCUCAGCGUCUCCCGCCCGGCUGAGGCAGGUUCACCCCCGGCGCGCAGCAGAGGGGGCGGGGCCAAGCUGGGCGGGAGGCGCCCGAGUGGCUGUGUGUCAGGGAAAGACUGCGGGGAAGCCUACCUGUGAGCAGAGCUGGGCUGCCACACACAACAGCGGACCGUCCUCGUUGGAUCAAGUGGUUUGAGCCGCUGCCCUCUUUCAUUUCUGCAGCGGUUCUCUUGUCACUGCCGCGUGCUGAGUGCCUAGGAGCUGGUCACCCGGGAUGCUGAAUCCCUUGCUGAAAAGGGAUUAGUGGCAGGUGUUCCUUGACUCGCUCUCCGGGAGUCAAGUGUUGGAGACUGGGCUGCAGCCUCAGGUGGCGGGUCCACAAUCCUGCAAAGCAGUCAAUGCACAUCGCCCCCGGAAGGACAAGCAGACAAGAUGGCAGGCGAGUAGCAGUGAGCUGACCAUGAGGGAAGAAAACCAGGCCAGCCUAACAGGAGGCAAAGAUUCACCUUCAAAGACCUGUGUCCAAAGUAGAGGUGACGGGGAAGAACACAACGGUGCUUUCAGAGAGCAGCUGUCGCAGCAACACCUCACCCAGCAGCAUGCGUACCAAUUGCUCAGGAUGAAAUGGCACUUUCUCUUGGCUAUGCUGCAUCUAUGGAGGCAACAGUGCAUGGGGAUUCUGUGGUGUCUGGCACUGACGAGCAGAUGCAGAACUCAGCUGAGGCAUCCCAGUUGCUGGAAG